This 353-nucleotide long non-coding RNA is filed under the name Lathyrus oleraceus (garden pea). RNAcentral's name for it is "Pisum sativum (pea) long non-coding RNA (PSAT_LNC020765)". The record is from RNAcentral. Lineage: Eukaryota; Viridiplantae; Streptophyta; Magnoliopsida; Fabales; Fabaceae.
AUUUUCUCUCUCCCCUAGCCAGGGUCGAGCCUUUGAGAUGUUUGAUUCGCGUUCUUCUUUCACCUCUCUUUCUCCAGUUGGUUUCUCCCUGUUGAGAUUGGUCGAGUGUUGUAUUGGUGAUUCAAACCAGCGACAGUUGUAUCAUUUGUGAUCGUUUUGUCAUCAUAAUCAUCAUAAAUACAUAUACAUAUACAUCCACAAAUUUUCAUUAUUACAUUAUUUGCAUUAUAUGAUUCAUUAUUUCUCUGAUCCUCUGCUAUGGUGGUAUCCUUUCCCCCACGCAGAUUUUGUGUGUCUGUCCUCUUUCAAUAAUAGAGUGUCAACCCCCUUAAGUAGAAAGAAUUUAACCUUUC